This 485-nucleotide ribosomal RNA is filed under the name uncultured bacterium. Its description in RNAcentral is "partial 16S ribosomal RNA". It matches the Rfam family "Bacterial small subunit ribosomal RNA", at positions 28 to 507 of the family's 1533-position model. The record is from RNAcentral.
GAUGAACGCUGGCGGCGUGCUUAACACAUGCAAGUCGAACGGGAUCCAAGGGGUGCUUGCACUUUUUGGUGAGAGUGGCGAACGGGUGAGUAACACGUGAGUAACCUGUCCUUUUCUUUGGGAUAAGCAUUCGAAAGGGUGUUUAAUACCUUAUGUUCUGUCUGCCUCGCAUGGGGUGGGUGGGAAAGGCUUUGGCCGGAUUUGGGUGGGCUCGCGGUCUAUCAGCUUGUUGGGGGGGUGAUGGCUUACCAAGGCUUUGACGGGUAGCCGGCCUGAGAGGGUGGUCGGUCACAUUGGGACUGAGAUACGGCCCAGACUCCUGCGGGAGGCAGCAGUGGGGGAUAUUGCACAAUGGGCGAAAGCCUGAUGCAGCGACGCCGCGUGGGGGAUGAAGGCCUGCGGGUUGUAAACUUCUUUUGCUCUGAACAAGGCAUGCCAGUGGGUGUGUUGAGUGUAGGGGUUGAUUAGCGCCGGCUAACUACGUG